GUUAUAGGGUCAAGUGACUAAGAGCAUGUGGUGGAUGCCUUGGCAAUGAUAGGCGACGAAGGACGUGGUAGCCUGCGAUAAGCUUCGGGGAGCUGGCAAAUUAGCUUUGAUCCGGAGAUUUCCGAAUGGGGAAACCCACCGAAAGGUAUCUUUAUCUGAAUACAUAGGGUAGAGAGGCGAACCGAGUGAACUGAAACAUCUAAGUAGCUCGAGGAAAAGACAUCAACCGAGAUUCCGAAAGUAGUGGCGAGCGAAAUCGGAGAAGCCUGUUAGUGAUAGCACGACAUUUAGCAAAACAGUCUGGAAAGAUUGGCCAUAGUAGGUGAUAGCCCUGUAUGCGAAAAGUGAUGUGUGGUACUAAGUUAACGACAAGUAGGGCGGGACACGUGUAAUCCUGUCUGAAGAUGGGGGGACCAUCCUCCAAGGCUAAAUACUCGUGAUCGACCGAUAGUGAACCAGUACCGUGAGGGAAAGGCGAAAAGAACCCCGGGAGGGGAGUGAAAUAGAUCCUGAAACCGCAUGCAUACAAACAGUCGGAGCCUCCUUGAGGGGUGACGGCGUACCUUUUGUAUAAUGGGUCAGCGACUUACGUUUAGUGGCAAGCUUAACCGAAUAGGGGAGGCGCAGGGAAACCGAGUCCGAAUAGGGCGAUCAGUCGCUAGGCGUAGACCCGAAACCAGAUGAUCUAUCCAUGGCCAGGAUGAAGGUAGGGUAACACCUGCUGGAGGUCCGAACCGACUACUGUUGCAAAAGUAGCGGAUGAGCUGUGGAUAGGGGUGAAAGGCUAAACAAAUCUGGAAAUAGCUGGUUCUCCCCGAAAACUAUUUAGGUAGUGCCUCAUGUAUGGCUCCAGGGGGUAGAGCACUGUCAUCAUUGCGGGGGUCAUUGCGAUUUACCGCGUGAUAGCAAACUCCGAAUACCUGGAAGUCUGAGCAUGGGAGACAGUCCUCGGGUGCUAACGUCCGAGGUCGAGAGGGAAACAACCCAGACCGCCAGCUAAGGUCCCCAAGCAUGACUAAGUGGGAAACGAAGUGGGAAGGCUAAAACAGUCAGGAGGUUGGCUUAGAAGCAGCCACCCUUUAAAGAAAGCGUAAUAGCUCACUGAUCGAGUCGUCCUGCGCGGAAGAUGUAACGGGGCUAAGUCAUGCACCGAAGCUGCGGAUUUGCGAAAGCAAGUGGUAGGGGAGCGUUCUGUAAGCCUGUGAAGGUGUGUUGUAAAGCAUGCUGGAGGUAUCAGAAGUGCGAAUGCUGACAUGAGUAGCGUUAAACAGAGUGAAAAGCUCUGUCGCCGUAAGCGCAAGGUUUCCUACGCAACGUUAAUCGACGUAGGGUGAGUCGGCCCCUAAGGCGAGGGCGAGAGCCGUAGCUGAUGGGAAGCAGGUUAAUAUUCCUGCACCGAUACUAGAUGCGAUGGGGGGACGGAUCGUGGAAGGUUGUCCGGGUGUUGGAUGUCCCGGUCCCUGUCUUGUAGGUGUUCAGUAGGCAAAUCCGCUGAACGUAUGCCGAGGAGAUGGGGCGAGUGAGCUUGCUCGCGAAGCAACUGGAAGGGGUCCCAGGAAAAGCCUCUAAGCUUCAGUCUAGUACGACCGUACCGCAAACCGACACUGGUGCGCGAGAUGAGUAUUCUCAGGCGCUUGAGAGAACUGCGGAGAAGGAACUCGGCAAAUUGACACCGUAACUUCGGGAGAAGGUGUGCCUUUUUAGCUUGAGUGUGAACAACACAAGGGCGAAGAGGCUGCAAAAAAUAGGUGGCUGCGACUGUUUACCAAAAACACAGCACUCUGCAAACACGAAAGUGGACGUAUAGGGUGUGACGCCUGCCCGGUGCCGGAAGGUUAAGUGAUGGGGUGCAAGCUCUUGAUCGAAGCCCCGGUAAACGGCGGCCGUAACUAUAACGGUCCUAAGGUAGCGAAAUUCCUUGUCGGGUAAGUUCCGACCUGCACGAAU
This 1947-nucleotide ribosomal RNA is filed under the name Betaproteobacteria bacterium. Its description in RNAcentral is "partial 23S ribosomal RNA". It matches the Rfam family "Bacterial large subunit ribosomal RNA", at positions 1 to 1997 of the family's 2925-position model. Lineage: Bacteria; Pseudomonadati; Pseudomonadota; Betaproteobacteria. The record is from RNAcentral.